This 460-nucleotide ribosomal RNA is filed under the name uncultured bacterium. Its description in RNAcentral is "partial 16S ribosomal RNA". It matches the Rfam family "Bacterial small subunit ribosomal RNA", at positions 338 to 795 of the family's 1533-position model. The record is from RNAcentral.
CCUACGGGAGGCAGCAGUGAGGAAUAUUGGUCAAUGGGCGCGAGCCUGAACCAGCCAAGUAGCGUGAAGGAUGAAUGACCUACGGGUUGUAAACUUCAUUUAUAAAGGAAUAAAGUGAGGCACGUGUGCCUUUAUGUAUGUACUUUAUGAAUAAGGAUCGGCUAACUCCGUGCCAGCAGCCGCGGUAAUACGGAGGAUCAGAGCGUUAUCCGGAUUUAUGGGGUUUAAAGGGAGCGUAGAUGGGUUGUUAAGUCAGUUGUGAAAGUGUGCGGCUCAACCGUAAAAUUGCAAUUGAUACUGGCAGCCUUGAGUACAGUUGAGGUAGGCGGAAUUCGUGGUGUAGCGGUGAAAUGCUUAGAUAUCACGAAGAACUCCGAUGGCGAAGGCAGCUUACUAAACUGCCACUGACAUUGAUGCUCGAAAGUGUGGGUAGCAAACAGGAUUAGAUACCCUUGUAGUC